CACGCCGUAAACGAUGAGCACUAGGUGUCGGGAUCGCAAGAUUUCGGUGCCGGAGUUAACGCAUUAAGUGCUCCGCCUGGGGAGUACGUUCGCAAGAAUAAAACUCAAAGGAAUUGACGG
This 120-nucleotide ribosomal RNA is filed under the name uncultured bacterium. Its description in RNAcentral is "partial 16S ribosomal RNA". It matches the Rfam family "Bacterial small subunit ribosomal RNA", at positions 796 to 916 of the family's 1533-position model. The record is from RNAcentral.